UGGUUAUUUGUUGCUACUGCCGCUAUUGUUGUUGUUUGAGUCGUUGUUCCAUUCGUUUGCUUAUCGGUGGACUUUUGCAGCUACUGCCACUGCUUCUAGUGCCGCUGCUCUUGCGGUGCUGGCCGAGCGAGAUGAAUUUCGUUGCGUUCGAUACAAAUCAGUUGCUUUUGAAAUGUUCGCAAAUACAGACGCUUUAAAAUGUUAAUUGUGCAUUUCGGUGAAAUAUUCUGUGUAACGGUGUAUAACUAGAAAGACUUUACUUGUUUAAUUUGUAGCGCAACAAAAGCUACCAAAUUCGAGUGCAAAAUCGCUAAAGAAAAUAUAAUUUUCACAAUUUUAUAUAAAACAAACUGGCAAUAAAAGUUACUGAAAAUAAAAAAUUGACCGUA
Molecule: long non-coding RNA, 389 nt
Organism: Ceratitis capitata (Mediterranean fruit fly)
Lineage: Eukaryota; Metazoa; Arthropoda; Insecta; Diptera; Tephritidae
Exons: 3
Source: RefSeq, a predicted model, not a curated record